GAGUAGUAUGAGGUAUGGUCUAGAAACUCAAAAAAUUUGGCGGUAUUUUAUCUUAUCAGAGGAACCUGUUUAGUAAUUGAUAUUCCACAACUUAAUUUACUUUUAUUAUAAUAUUUGUAUACCGCCGUCAUGAAUCUAUUAAAAAAUUAAUUUUAAUUUUUAUAAAAUAUAUGUUAGGUCAAGGUGCAGUCUAUGAAGUUAAUGAUGGGUUACCUUAAUAGAAUGGAUGAAAUAGGAUUUGAUAGUAAACUUAAGAGUAAUUUAAUGAAAAAAGAUUCUAAAAUAUG
This 287-nucleotide ribosomal RNA is filed under the name Acizzia indica. RNAcentral's name for it is "partial 12S ribosomal RNA". The record is from RNAcentral. Lineage: Eukaryota; Metazoa; Arthropoda; Insecta; Hemiptera; Psyllidae.